This is a long non-coding RNA of Dioscorea cayenensis subsp. rotundata (Guinea yam), 883 nucleotides long. RefSeq lists it as uncharacterized. The record is from RefSeq and is a predicted model, not a curated record. Lineage: Eukaryota; Viridiplantae; Streptophyta; Magnoliopsida; Dioscoreales; Dioscoreaceae. The transcript is spliced from 4 exons.
AUCGUCUCCCAUGGUUUAUUGCAUAGCUCUCUUGGGAUAUUGAUAGCGGUUUUCCGGCGAUCGACAAAGCUCUCACCGGUGUGUUUCUCUGCAGAUCCAGUUUGAGUUUCCCAAAAAAGCUUUUGCCUCUAUCGCUUAAACUGAGGCAGUAAUCGGGUCUGAGACUGAUGAUUUGGCCAAGGUGUUGUUAUCUGAGGAGUAAUGGAUGUGGUUUGAUUGUUUGUAGGGUUCUUUUGAGUGUUGAGAUCUCAGUCACUUGAAUUCUUAGCGAGGAUCUCUUUCAAUACAAGCUUUGGAUGGACAGUAAAAAAGAGAAAAAUAUCUGUUCUGCAUCCUUACUUGUACUUUUGUUUGUGGCUUAAAAAAUUUUGGUCAAGUAUAAUCUUGCACAUGCUGUGACUGAGAUUGUUAGACAAUCCUCACUGCAACAAGGUGGAAUGUUAAGAGAUUACCAAGUAGUUGGGUUGAAAUGGAUGCCUUCAUCACAUACUAUUAAUAGGCUGAAUGGGAUUUUGGCUGAUGAAAUGGGCCUAGGCAAAACUGUGCAGGUUAUGGCACAUUGAUCGCUUAUUUGAUGGAAUUCAAAUGGAACCAUGGACCGUAUCUCAUUAUAGUCCCAAAAGCCAUCUUAGUAAAUUGGAAGGCAAGGCGCUCUUCGGCUCCUUUAUGUUUGCUCACGUAGGGUGCUUUGUGAGGUCAUCGACUGAUAUCUUUCUAUAUCUUUCUUUUCCUUCAAAGUGAGCUGUUUAAAUGGUUUCCUUCAGUAUCAUGCAUUUUUUAUGCUGCACGAAAGUAAUUAAUGCCAUUAUUUAAUUUAAAACCUGUGUAGUAAUCCAGCUCUGUCAGGAGCACAAAUGUUACCAGCUCUUUUGAAACCUGAGCA